ACUUGUACCGACUGGAUGAGCAGCGAACGGGUGAGUAACGCGUGGGGAAUCUGCCUUUGAGCGGGGGACAACAUUUGGAAACGAAUGCUAAUACCGCAUAAAAACUUUAAACACAAGUUUUAAGUUUGAAAGAUGCAAUUGCAUCACUCAAAGAUGAUCCCGCGUUGUAUUAGCUAGUUGGUGAGGUAAAGGCUCACCAAGGCGAUGAUACAUAGCCGACCUGAGAGGGUGAUCGGCCACAUUGGGACUGAGACACGGCCCAAACUCCUACGGGAGGCAGCAGUAGGGAAUCUUCGGCAAUGGACGAAAGUCUGACCGAGCAACGCCGCGUGAGUGAAGAAGGUUUUCGGAUCGUAAAACUCUGUUGGUAGAGAAGAACGUUGGUGAGAGUGGAAAGCUCAUCAAGUGACGGUAACUACCCAGAAAGGGACGGCUAACUACGUGCCAGCAGCCGCGGUAAUACGUAGGUCCCGAGCGUUGUCCGGAUUUAUUGGGCGUAAAGCGAGCGCAGGUGGUUUAUUAAGUCUGGUGUAAAAGGCAGUGGCUCAACCAUUGUAUGCAUUGGAAACUGGUAGACUUGAGUGCAGGAGAGGAGAGUGGAAUUCCAUGGGUUAGCGG
This 618-nucleotide ribosomal RNA is filed under the name Lactococcus lactis. RNAcentral's name for it is "bacterial SSU rRNA". It matches the Rfam family "Bacterial small subunit ribosomal RNA", at positions 73 to 681 of the family's 1533-position model. Lineage: Bacteria; Bacillati; Bacillota; Bacilli; Lactobacillales; Streptococcaceae. The record is from RNAcentral.